Small nucleolar RNA from Hevea brasiliensis (rubber tree), 141 nucleotides. RefSeq annotates it as small nucleolar RNA snoR136. The record is from RefSeq and is a predicted model, not a curated record. NCBI's taxonomy places the organism in Eukaryota, Viridiplantae, Streptophyta, Magnoliopsida, Malpighiales, Euphorbiaceae. The transcript has a single exon.
UGGGCUUUGUUUAUUGUAAGCUUACAGCUUUACACUAAGUUCAAUUAGUUAAUGCUGCUAUUAAUGAAGCCUAAAAAGUUGUUUCCCUCGCUAUCCAAGUCUGCAAUACAUGUUGCAUUUGGACGUCGGGAAACUAUAUUU